Molecule: ribosomal RNA, 429 nt
Filed under: Actinomycetes bacterium
Lineage: Bacteria; Bacillati; Actinomycetota; Actinomycetes
Description: Actinobacteria bacterium partial 16S ribosomal RNA
Rfam family: Bacterial small subunit ribosomal RNA
Source: RNAcentral
UAGGGAAUCUUCCGCAAUGGGCGAAAGCCUGACGGAGCAACGCCGCGUGAGUGAUGGAGGUCUUCGGAUCGUAAAACUCUGUUAUUAGGGAAGAACAAAUGUGUAAGUAACUAUGCACGUCUUGACGGUACCUAAUCAGAAAGCCACGGCUAACUACGUGCCAGCAGCCGCGGUAAUACGUAGGUGGCAAGCGUUAUCCGGAAUUAUUGGGCGUAAAGCGCGCGUAGGCGGUUUUUUAAGUCUGAUGUGAAAGCCCACGGCUCAACCGUGGAGGGUCAUUGGAAACUGGAAAACUUGAGUGCAGAAGAGGAAAGUGGAAUUCCAUGUGUAGCGGUGAAAUGCGCAGAGAUAUGGAGGAACACCAGUGGCGAAGGCGACUUUCUGGUCUGUAACUGACGCUGAUGUGCGAAAGCGUGGGGAUCAAACAGG